GGUCGGCGCCGGAAGAUCGCUCCGCUCCGCCUGUAGUGCGGCGGGCGGGGAGGAAAGUCCGAACUGCGCAGAGCGGGAUGGUCGCGAAACGCGACUCCGCCCGGGAGGAAUCCCCGGCGGGGGAAAGUGCCACAGAAACCAGACCGCCCGUCCGACGUGUGGCGGGCAAGGGUGAAAAUGUGAGGCAAGAGCUCACAUCCCUCCCAGCGAUGGGACGGGAGGACAAACCCCAUCCGCAGCAAGGCUAAGUAAAGAGAGUCCCCGCCGAUAAGGCGGGAUAGACCGGCUCGGUCGAACCUCUCGGGGUAAGCCGCCCAGAUGAAUGAUCUUCGCCCGCCCGCAGUGUGGCGGGGACAGAAUUCGGCUUACAGGCGUCCGACCGCAU
This 385-nucleotide RNase P RNA is filed under the name Elusimicrobia bacterium RIFCSPLOWO2_01_FULL_64_13. Its description in RNAcentral is "RNase P RNA component class A". It matches the Rfam family "Bacterial RNase P class A". Rfam says of the family: Ribonuclease P (RNase P) is a ubiquitous endoribonuclease, found in archaea, bacteria and eukarya as well as chloroplasts and mitochondria. Its best characterised activity is the generation of mature 5'-ends of tRNAs by cleaving the 5'-leader elements of precursor-tRNAs. Cellular RNase Ps are ribonucleoproteins. The record is from RNAcentral. Lineage: Bacteria; Pseudomonadati; Elusimicrobiota.